AUUUGAAUUCUUCGAACCCCAACAAUUCCGCCCAUAAACCUCCAUGAAUGACGAAACCUACCAGAGUAUCGUUACCCGCCGUUGAUUCUCUCAUACCUCAACCGCAUUUUCCUUAACCGGUUCGUUUCCUCUCUUUUCCUUUUAAUCAGUAGUUUUGAUUAUUGCUGUUGCCUCAUGUUACUGUCGGAAGCAGCCUAGGGUUUUACUUCAUCUAAUUUGCUACUAAGUUUUGUUUUUUCUUUUGUUCGAUAAUGUUUUCUUUGCCCUAUGUAGCAUUUGAUAUAACUGUAAUGGUGGAACAAAAACGAUAAAGAAUGGGCGGAAUAGUAGUGUUCUUGAUAAUGGAAAUGUUAGGAUUUAUGUUGCUAAUUGAGGCGGGUUUAUGGUAGUGUUGAUAGUUGGAAAUUUUUGUCGUGGGUACUAAUUUGAAUAGGGUUUAUGGCAGUGGUUGAUCAUUGGGAAGGUUCUUUUACUCCCGUGCUAUUUGAAGAGGGUUUUGCUGUAAUUAAGAUUCUGUUAUUGUAAUGCUAAGUUGUAGAAUUGAGCAAGAACGUGGGUUGAAAACGUUGAGGUUUGAGAAAGAACUCAUUUUGCUGUUGGCACCGUGUUCUUGCAUCACUGAAAUGAAGUGAGAUGGUUUGGGGUUUGAUGUACAGCAUUCAAGAUUAAGCUAGCAUUUACUACAGAAAAAUGGUUAGAUUAGGAUCAUAUGCUCAAGAAAAAUGAUUAGCCGUUUUUCAAUUUUAUUUAAAAAAGAUCAUUUAGUUUACCCAAUUUUAGCAAUUAAAUGCAGUAUUUAUAGCGAUUCUAGCAUAACUCUACAUCUUUAAAAGAUUUUUUCUUUGCCUUUUUUUUUGGAAAAUGUUUUAAUUAGUUUAUUUAUUUAUUAAAAAAAAAAAUCCAUGAGAACACCUUAUAUGGGAAAACAGGAUCAUUUCCCUUGAUCUAAUGUACUGGAGAUGUCCAUUUUUUUAGUCCAAACAAAACCUUCGAUCGCGUAGCUUACUUAGAUUGUGCCCGCCUUGGCAAGGAUGUCAAAAUCCCUAAACUAGGAAUUUUUUGGAAUUCAAAUCUCUACAUUCUACUCUUCACUUGGCCUGGAACAUCAGUCAUAUCAUUAACUCUCUUUCUCUCUUCUAAUUCACUUUGGAGUUUUAUUUCUUUAAUUGCUUAUUUAUUUUUUGUUCUAUGAUUUUUUUUUUGGCCUAAAUAGCAUUCUUAGUAAUUGUUCUAAUUGAACAAAAAACAAGACUAACAAAUAAAAUUCUUGAGAUUUGAUAUAGAUCAUUGGAGGUUUAUCACAUAAAAUUCAUGAAUGACGAAACCUACCAAAGUAUCGUUACCCGCCGUUGAUUCUCUCAUACCUCAACCGCAUUUUCCUUAACCGGUUCGUUUCCUCUCUUUUCCAUUUAAUCAGUAGUUUUGAUUAUUGCUUUUGCCUCAUGUUACUGUCGGAAGCAGCCUAGGGUUUUACUUCAUCUAAUUUGCUACUAAGUUUUGUUUUUUCUUUUGUUCGAUAAUGUUUUCUUUGCCCUAUGUAGCAUUUGAUAUAACUGUAAUGGUGGAACAAUACAGCAAUUCUGUGUC
This 1587-nucleotide long non-coding RNA is filed under the name Vitis vinifera (wine grape). Its description in RNAcentral is "long non-coding RNA (VVIN_LNC004816)". Lineage: Eukaryota; Viridiplantae; Streptophyta; Magnoliopsida; Vitales; Vitaceae. The record is from RNAcentral.